GGCCUUGUGGCUCAGUCGGUGGAGCAACGGUGAUCAAAUCCGGAGGUGGUGGGUUCAAUUCCCACCCAGGUCA
RNAcentral lists this transfer RNA (73 nucleotides) under Acropora cervicornis. RNAcentral's name for it is "tRNA-OTHER". It matches the Rfam family "tRNA". From Rfam's summary of the family: Transfer RNA (tRNA) molecules are approximately 80 nucleotides in length. Their secondary structure includes four short double-helical elements and three loops (D, anti-codon, and T loops). Lineage: Eukaryota; Metazoa; Cnidaria; Anthozoa; Scleractinia; Acroporidae. The record is from RNAcentral.